GAUGAACGCUGGCGGCGUGCCUAAUACAUGCAAGUCGAGCGAACAGACGACGAGCUUGCUCCUCUGACGUUAGCGGCGGACGGGUGAGUAACACGAGGAUAACCUACCUAUAAGACUGGGAUAACUUCGGGAAACCGGAGCCAAUACCGGCCAAUAUCUUGAACCGCAUGGUUUAAUAGUGAAAGACGGCUGUGCUGUCACUUAUAGCCGGAUCCGCGCCGCAUUAGCUAGUUGGUAAGGUAACGGCUUACCAAGGCGACGAUGCGUAGCCGACCUGAGAGGGUGAUCGGCCACACUGGAACUGAGACACGGUCCAGACUCCUACGGGAGGCAGCAGUAGGGAAUCUUCCGCAAUGGGCGAAAGCUUGACGGAGAAACGCCGCGUGAGUGAUGAAGGUCUUCGGAUCGUAAAACUCUGUUAUUAGGGAAGAACAAAUGUGUAAGUAACUAUGCACGUCUUGACGGUACCUAAUCAGAAAGCCACGGCUAACUACGUG
Molecule: ribosomal RNA, 497 nt
Filed under: uncultured bacterium
Lineage: Bacteria
Description: partial 16S ribosomal RNA
Rfam family: Bacterial small subunit ribosomal RNA
Source: RNAcentral